RNAcentral lists this ribosomal RNA (253 nucleotides) under uncultured bacterium. Its description in RNAcentral is "partial 16S ribosomal RNA". It matches the Rfam family "Bacterial small subunit ribosomal RNA", at positions 524 to 776 of the family's 1533-position model. The record is from RNAcentral.
UACAGGGGGAGCAAACGUUGCUCGGAAUUACUGGGCAUAAAGGGCAUGUAGGCGGUCUUGCAAGUUGGAUGUGAAAGACCCUGGCUCAACCAGGGAAGUGCAUCCAAAACUGCAGGGCUAGAGGCCGAGAGGGGUGAGCGGAACUCCAGGUGGAGCGGUGAAAUGCGUAGAUAUCUGGAGGAACACCGGUGGCGAAAGCGGCUCACUGGUUCGGUUCUGACGCUGAGGUGCGAAAGCCAGGGUAGCGAACGGG